CGCAUGGGGCAGCUACAAUGCAGUCGAGCGAGAACUUCGGUUCUAGCGGCGGACGGGUUAGUAACGCGUGGGAACGUGCCCUUCACUACGGAAUAGUCCCGGGAAACUGGGUUUAAUACCGUAUACGCCCUUCGGGGGAAAGAAUUUCGGUGAAGGAUCGGCCCGCGUUAGAUUAGAUAGUUGGUGGGGUAACGGCCUACCAAGUCUACGAUCUAUAGCUGGUUUUAGAGGAUGAUCAGCAACACUGGGACUGAGACACGGCCCAGACUCCUACGGGAGGCAGCAGUGGGGAAUCUUAGACAAUGGGCGCAAGCCUGAUCUAGCCAUGCCGCGUGAGUGAUGAAGGCCUUAGGGUCGUAAAGCUCUUUCGCCAGGGAUGAUAAUGACAGUACCUGGUAAAGAAACCCCGGCUAACUCCGUGCCAGCAGCCGCGGUAAUACGGAGGGGGUUAGCGUUGUUCGGAAUUACUGGGCGUAAAGCGCGCGUAGGCGGAUUGGAAAGUUGGGGGUGAAAUCCCAGGGCUCAACCCUGGAACUGCCUCCAAAACUAUCAGUCUAGAGUUCGAGAGAGGUGAGUGGAACUCCGAGUGUAGAGGUGAAAUUCGUAGAUAUUCGGAAGAACACCAGUGGCGAAGGCGGCUCACUGGCUCGAUACUGACGCUGAGGUGCGAAAGUGUGGGGAGCAAACAGGAUUAGAUACCCUGGUAGUCC
RNAcentral lists this ribosomal RNA (710 nucleotides) under Roseovarius sp. Its description in RNAcentral is "bacterial SSU rRNA". It matches the Rfam family "Bacterial small subunit ribosomal RNA", at positions 34 to 796 of the family's 1533-position model. Lineage: Bacteria; Pseudomonadati; Pseudomonadota; Alphaproteobacteria; Rhodobacterales; Roseobacteraceae. The record is from RNAcentral.